Arachis ipaensis is the source of this 3160-nucleotide non-coding RNA. Lineage: Eukaryota; Viridiplantae; Streptophyta; Magnoliopsida; Fabales; Fabaceae. The record is from RefSeq and is a predicted model, not a curated record.
UUAUAGGGCCUAAGAUCCUUCAUCACAAUCCAAUUUUGCAGAGCCACAUAUUAUCAUCAUUACAAUUUUAUCCAGUCAUAGGGACUCAUCCUUCAUCACAAAUUCACAAUCCACAAGGCCACACAUGUCAUUACAUUUCAAUAUGAUUGGACAGAAAAAGCCAACUAAAUAACCCUUCCACACUUUUUAUUUUUUCUAGGAUCAUAAGCAUCAUGAACAUUAUUGCACAAAUUUACCAUCAACAAAUCAUUACACAACUUUUUCAAGGGAAAAAAUCUUAUCUAAUCCACAUAGUAAAAAAAAUUCAUCACAAAAAAAUUGAAACAAUUCUACGACAAAUUCUUUUCCCAAAUGACUCAAGCAUACAAGGUGCAAGGUAGAAUUGAAAUAAAUUCAAACUCCAGAGUCCCAUCCAAAUCAUAAAAAUGGAAGAGAAAAUUGUGCAUCCCAGAACUUCCAAAUCCAAAUGGCAAAACUCAGUUGCCCGUAAUUCAAUAACAGAAAAAUAGUUGGGGAAAUAAAGAGAAACCAACCUUUCCAAAACCAACUCAUCCCCAAGAUAAUAAAAAGAUAGCACCAAUAAUCGAAAGCAAACCUUUUUUCUUUUCUAAGAUAUGAAUAUAUUCCAUAAGAGCAACGAUUUGCACAAAUUUUGUAAAACACAAAUUGACAAUGAAUUCAGUCAUUCAAUUAUUUUCUGUUUAUCCAUAACAUUUUUCAACAAAAUAAUUAUCUCAAUGUGUUUGGCAAUCAAUAAGAAAAACCAUAAUUAACUGAACUGUUCUGAUAAAUUUCAAAGCAUGAACAAAAGCACAUCAGAGAGGAAAUACUAUUUUGGAGUCAAGAGAUCCAUCACCACAUUCCAACCACAUUGGGGACGAGAAACCCUUCACCAAAUUUUAAGGUCAUAAGGUCAAUUAUACCAUCAAACUUCAAUAUUCAUGGGUCAAAAAAGGGAAAAUAACAUCAUUUUGCAACAUAAGGGUCAAGCAUAUUAUCAUAUCCGAUAUAUUCGGGUCAUAGGGAAUAAGAUCCUUCGCCAUAAUUCGAUUUCAUAGGGCCACGCAUCAUGUAUCCGAUAUUUUAGGGUCAUAGGGACUAUGAUCCUUCAUCACAAUUCAAUUCCAUAGGACCACACAUUAUUGUAUCCGAUUUUCUUGAGACAUAGGGACUAAGAUACUUUGCCACAAUUCAAUUUCAUAGAGCCACAUUAUCCGAUUUUAUCGGGUCAUAGGGACUAAAAUCUUUCAUCACAAUUCAUAGGGACACAUAUAUCGUUACAUUUCAAUAUCAUUGGACAGAAAAACCCAAGUAUAUUACCCUUCCACACAUUUCAGUUUUCAAGGGUCACAAGAAUCAUGAAAACUAUCGCACAAUUUUACCGUCAACAAUUCAUUACACUACUUUUUCAAGGGACAAAAUCUUAUUUGAUCCACAUAGUAAAAAAAUUCAUUGCAAAAGAAUUGAAACAAUUCUGCAACUAAGUUUGUCCUGCUAUAAAAGUCAAUCAUAUAUCAUUCUGCAACAAAUUCUUUUCCCAAAUGGCUCAAACAUACAUUGUGCAAGGUAGAAUUGAAAUAAAUUCAAACUCCAGAGUCCCAUCCAAAUCAUAAAAAUGGAAGAGAAAAUUGUGAAUCCCAAAACUUCCAAAUCCAAAUGGCAAAAUUCAGUUGCCCAUAAUUCAAUAACAGAAAAAUAGUUGGGGAAAUAAAGAGAAACCAACCUUUCCAAAACCAACUCAUCCCCAAGAUAAUGAAAAGAUAGCACCAAUAAUCGAAAGCAAACCUUUUUUCUUUUCCAAGAUAUGAAUAUAUUUCAUAAGAGCAACGAUUUGCACACAAAAUUUUGUAAAACACAAAUUGACAAUGAAUUCAGUCAUUCAAUUAUUUUCUGUUUAUCCAUAACAUUUUUCAACAAAAUAAUUAUCUCAAUGUGUUUGGCAAUCAAAGCUACUUGCAAUAAGAAAAACCAUAAUUAACUGAACUGUUGUGAUAAAUUUCAAAGCAUGAACAAAAGCACAUCAGAGAAAGGAAAUACUAUUUUGGAGUCAAGAGAUCCAUCACCACAUUCCAACCACAUUGGGGACGAGAAACCCUUCACCAAAUUUUAAGGUCAUAAGGUCAACUAUACCAUCAAACUUCAAUAUUCAUGGGUCAAAAAAGGGAAAAUAACAUCAUUUUGCAACAUAAGGGUCAAGCAUAUUAUCAUAUCCGAUAUAUUCGGGUCAUAGGGAAUAAGAUCCUUCGCCAUAAUUCGAUUUCAUAGGGCCACGCAUCAUGUAUCCGAUAUUUUAGGGUCAUAGGGACUAUGAUCCUUCAUCACAAUUCAAUUCCAUAGGACCACACAUUAUUGUAUCCGAUUUUCUUGAGACAUAGGGACUAAGAUACUUUGCCACAAUCCAAUUUCAUAGAGCCACAUUAUCCGAUUUUAUCGGGUCAUAGGGACUAAAAUCUUUCAUCACAAUUCAUAGGUUCAGGUCAUACGGACUAAAAUCCUUCAUCACAAUUCAUAGGGACACAUAUAUCGUUACAUUUCAAUAUCAUUGUACAGAAAAAGCCAAGUAUAUUACCCUUCCACACAUUUCAGUUUUCAAGGGUCACAAGAAUCAUGAAAACUAUCGCACAAUUUUACUGUCACCAAAUCAUUACACUACUUUUUCAAGGUACAAUCUUAUUUGAUCCACAUAGUAAAAAAAUUCGUUGCAAAAGAAUUGAAACAAUUCUGCAACUAAGUUUGUCCUGCUGUAAAAGUCAAUCAUAUAUCAUUCUGCAACAAUUUUUUUUCCCAAACGGCUCAAACAUACAUUGUGCAAAGUAGAAUUUAAAUAAAUUCAAAGUCUAGAGUCACAUCCAUCUCAUAAAAAGAAGAGAGAAAAAACAGGACAUCCCAGAACUAUCAAAUGGCAAAACUCAAUUGCCCGUAAUUCAAUAGCAGAAAAUUGUUUAGGAAUUUAAGAAAAACCAACUUUUCCAAAACCAAUUCAUUCCCAAGAUAAUCAAAAACUAACAUCACAAUAAAAAAGCAAACCCUUUUUCUUUUCUCGGACUUGAAUAUAUUCCAUAACAGCAAUGAUUUGCACAAAAAAAAAAUCCAUCUUUACAAUGGACCCCGACGUUAAGUAGGAAAAUGCAAAAGAUUUGAACAGAACCAACAAAAAAAA